RNAcentral lists this transfer RNA (88 nucleotides) under Methanohalophilus halophilus. RNAcentral describes it as "tRNA_Leu_CAG". It matches the Rfam family "tRNA". Rfam says of the family: Transfer RNA (tRNA) molecules are approximately 80 nucleotides in length. Their secondary structure includes four short double-helical elements and three loops (D, anti-codon, and T loops). Further hydrogen bonds mediate the characteristic L-shaped molecular structure. tRNAs have two regions of fundamental functional importance: the anti-codon, which is responsible for specific mRNA codon recognition, and the 3' end, to which the tRNAs corresponding amino acid is attached (by aminoacyl-tRNA synthetases). tRNAs cope with the degeneracy of the genetic code in two manners: having more than one tRNA (with a specific anti-codon) for a particular amino acid; and 'wobble' base-pairing, i.e. permitting non-standard base-pairing at the 3rd anti-codon position. Lineage: Archaea; Methanobacteriati; Methanobacteriota; Methanomicrobia; Methanosarcinales; Methanosarcinaceae. The record is from RNAcentral. RNAcentral also lists the same sequence under 3 other names.
GCGAGGGUUGCCCAGCCAGGCCAAAGGCGAUAGGUUCAGGGCCUAUUCUCGUAGGAGUUCGAGGGUUCGAAUCCCUUCCCUCGCACCA